This 425-nucleotide ribosomal RNA is filed under the name uncultured bacterium. Its description in RNAcentral is "partial 16S ribosomal RNA". It matches the Rfam family "Bacterial small subunit ribosomal RNA", at positions 354 to 796 of the family's 1533-position model. The record is from RNAcentral.
GUGGGGAAUCUUAGACAAUGGGCGCAAGCCUGAUCUAGCCAUGCCGCGUGAGCGAUGAAGGCCUUAGGGUUGUAAAGCUCUUUCGUGGGGGAAGAUAAUGACUGUACCCCAAGAAGAAGCCCCGGCUAACUCCGUGCCAGCAGCCGCGGUAAUACGGAGGGGGCUAGCGUUGUUCGGAAUUACUGGGCGUAAAGCGCACGUAGGCGGACUGGAAAGUCAGGGGUGAAAUCCCGGGGCUCAACCCCGGAACGGCCUUUGAAACUCCCAGUCUUGAGUUCGAGAGAGGUGAGUGGAAUUCCGAGUGUAGAGGUGAAAGUCGUAGAUAUUCGGAGGAACACCAGUGGCGAAGGCGGCUCACUGGCUCGAUACUGACGCUGAGGUGCGAAAGCGUGGGGAGCAAACAGGAUUAGAUACCCCAGUAGUCC